GAUGAACGCUGGCGGCGUGCCUAAUACAUGCAAGUCGAGCGAACGGACGAGAAGCUUGCUUCUCUGAUGUUAGCGGCGGACGGGUGAGUAACACGUGGAUAACCUACCUAUAAGACUGGGAUAACUUCGGGAAACCGGAGCUAAUACCGGAUGAUAUUUUGAACCGCAUGGUUCAAAAGUGAAGGACGGUCUUGCUGUCACUUAUAGAUGGAUCCGCGCUGCAUUAGCUAGUUGGUAAGGUAACGGCUUACCAAGGCAACGAUGCAUAGCCGACCUGAGAGGGUGAUCGGCCACACUGGAACUGAGACACGGUCCAGACUCCUACGGGAGGCAGCAGUAGGGAAUCUUCCGCAAUGGGCGAAAGCCUGACGGAGCAACGCCGCGCGAGUGAUGAAGGUCUUCGGAUCGUAAAACUCUGUUAUUAGGGAAGAACAUAUGUGUAAGUAACUGUGCACAUCUUGACGGUACCUAAUCAGAAAGCCACGGCUAACUACGUG
RNAcentral lists this ribosomal RNA (497 nucleotides) under uncultured bacterium. RNAcentral's name for it is "partial 16S ribosomal RNA". It matches the Rfam family "Bacterial small subunit ribosomal RNA", at positions 28 to 507 of the family's 1533-position model. The record is from RNAcentral.